RNAcentral lists this ribosomal RNA (561 nucleotides) under uncultured euryarchaeote. RNAcentral's name for it is "bacterial SSU rRNA". It matches the Rfam family "Archaeal small subunit ribosomal RNA", at positions 379 to 770 of the family's 1478-position model. The record is from RNAcentral. Lineage: Archaea; Methanobacteriati; Methanobacteriota.
UCCCAAGUGCUCAACAUUUGUUGGGCUUUUUCCCAAGUGUAAAUAGCUUGGCGAAUAAAGGGGUGGGCAAAGACUGGUGCCAGCCGCCGCGGUAACCCCAGCGCCCCAAGCGGGAAUCACGAUUAUUGGGUCUAAGGCGUUCGUAGCAGGCUUUGUAAAUUCCUUGUGAAAUCGGCAGGCUUAACUUGUCGGCGUGCAGGGAACACUGCAAAGCUCGAGACCGGGAGAGGCUAGAAGUAUUCCUUGGGUACCGGUAAAAUGGGUUAAUCCAAGGAGGACUACCAAUGGCGAAGGCAUCUGGCCAGAACGGUUCUGACUGUGAGGAACGAAAGCUAGGAGAGCAAAACGGAUUAGAUUCGAGAAAUUUCCUUUCAGUAAACGACAAAAACUUUCCAAGUUUUUGAGUUUCAAAAAAUCAUCAAUGAUUUUUGUAAAUUUCUGAAAUUAGCUUCGUGAAUUUUGUUCAAACAAAAUCUACUUUUACGAUGAGAAUUCAGGAAUCAUAUGGAAAUUUACUCGCUAAUUACCCGAGUAGUCCUAGCCGUAAACGCUGUGAGCAAG